CUUCGGUAUUGUCUCAGUUGCAGGGACUCUCACUGAAAGCCACAACCCCCCAGCUGCAAUCUCCUCAAUUGCAAUCCCCAACUGGGCUUCAGAUGCGGCAGAACAUGAACCAACAGCGGGCGAGCUACCCGACCAAGACCACUGUCACCUCCUCUCCAGUGAGGAAAACCUCCUCAUAUGGGUUUGAUUCAUCAGCUGCAGUAGCAGCAGCAGUGAUGAAUUCAAGGUCUUCUGCUUUCGCAAAGCGCAGCCAGAGCUUCAUCGAUAGGGGAGGUAUGAGCCAUCGCUCACCUGGGUUCACUGCAGCUUCUAAUUCUGCAACCUUGAUGUCAUCCAAUCUUUCUGACUGGAGCUCCCCUGAUGGGAAACUGGAUUGGGGCAUUCAAGGAGAUGAACUCAACAAGCUGAAGAAGUCUGCCUCUUUCGGAUUCCGAACCAACAACACUGCAACAGCAACACAAUCCAUGAUGGCCUCAACUGAUGAACCAGAUGUAUCUUGGGUUAAUUCCCUAGUCAAGGAUGUUCCUGCUGUCUCAUCUGGGCUGUUUGGUUCCCAGCAACGGCCAUACGGCAUUGGGGUUCAUGAGAAGCUCCCUCCAU
Molecule: long non-coding RNA, 600 nt
Filed under: Vitis vinifera (wine grape)
Lineage: Eukaryota; Viridiplantae; Streptophyta; Magnoliopsida; Vitales; Vitaceae
Description: long non-coding RNA (VVIN_LNC003992)
Source: RNAcentral